This 425-nucleotide ribosomal RNA is filed under the name uncultured bacterium. Its description in RNAcentral is "partial 16S ribosomal RNA". It matches the Rfam family "Bacterial small subunit ribosomal RNA", at positions 354 to 796 of the family's 1533-position model. The record is from RNAcentral.
GUGGGGAAUAUUGGACAAUGGGCGAAAGCCUGAUCCAGCAAUGCCGCGUGAGUGAUGAAGGCCCUAGGGUUGUAAAGCUCUUUUACCCGGGAUGAUAAUGACAGUACCGGGAGAAUAAGCUCCGGCUAACUCCGUGCCAGCAGCCGCGGUAAUACGGAGGGAGCUAGCGUUGUUCGGAAUUACUGGGCGUAAAGCGCGCGUAGGCGGUUUUCCAAGUCAGGGGUGAAAGCCCGGGGCUCAACCCCGGAAUAGCCCUUGAAACUGGAAGACUAGGAUCUGGGAGAGGUCAGUGGAAUUCCGAGUGUAGAGGUGAAAUUCGUAGAUAUUCGGAAGAACACCAGUGGCGAAGGCGACUGACUGGACAAGUAUUGACGCUGAGGUGCGAAAGCGUGGGGAGCAAACAGGAUUAGAAACCCGGGUAGUCC